Molecule: ribosomal RNA, 459 nt
Filed under: uncultured bacterium
Lineage: Bacteria
Description: partial 16S ribosomal RNA
Rfam family: Bacterial small subunit ribosomal RNA
Source: RNAcentral
CCUACGGGUGGCAGCAGUGAGGAAUAUUGGUCAAUGGGCGCGAGCCUGAACCAGCCAAGUCGCGUGAGGGAAGACGGUCCUAUGGAUUGUAAACCUCUUUUGUCGGGGAGCAAAAGACGCCACGCGUGGCGUUCCGCGAGUACCCGAAGAAAAAGCAUCGGCUAACUCCGUGCCAGCAGCCGCGGUAAUCGGGCGGAUGCGAGCGUUAGCCGGAUUUGUGGGGUUUAAAGGGUGCGCAGGGGGUAGUUCAAGUCAGCGGUAAAAUUGAGAGGCUCAACCUCUACGAGCCGUUGAAACUGGUGUGCUUGAGUGAGCGAGAAGUAGGCGGAAUGCGUGGUGUAGCGGUGAAAUGCAUAGAUAUCACGCAGAACACCGAUUGCGAAGGCAGCACACCGGAGCUCAACUGACGCUCAGGCACGAAAGUGUGGGUAUCGAACAGGAUUAGAUACCCCGGUAGUC